This is a non-coding RNA of Chryseobacterium indologenes, 35 nucleotides long. The record is from Rfam. NCBI's taxonomy places the organism in Bacteria, Pseudomonadati, Bacteroidota, Flavobacteriia, Flavobacteriales, Weeksellaceae.
GAGGCGGAAUCCGAAAAGCCCUAUACGAGUAGGAA